GUUCCUGUAGUGUAAUGGUUAUCACGUUUGCCUGACAUGCUAAAGGUCCUUGGUUUGAAACCGGGCAGGAACG
Neoarius graeffei (lesser salmon catfish) is the source of this 73-nucleotide non-coding RNA. The record is from the annotation of a RefSeq genome assembly. Lineage: Eukaryota; Metazoa; Chordata; Actinopteri; Siluriformes; Ariidae.